CUGAACUCGUUUAUGAUGCUUCCAACCUGAAUUCUAGAACAGCUUCCUGAUUCUUGGACACUGCUGUCAAAAUGACCGUCAGUCUGCAACAGCCCCAGGAGGCGGAGGCAAGGCCAGGCGCUGGGGGACCUGGGUCCUCCCCGAGACCUGAAGGCUAUUUUUGCCUUCUGUAAAAGGCACCCUCAUCCUGGUAUCAAGAUCCUGGAGAGGCCAGAUGUGAAAUAGAGUUUGUUUGAGACGUGGAUGACAAUGGGGAGGAUGUCCAUCCUGUGCAGGGCGCAGACACUGUCCAGCCGCACGUCCAGGAGGGCAUGAGUGUUCUUUGUGGGAGGGAGACGAGAAGUGAGUCAAGAUCACCAGCCUCUGAGGAAGCAAAGGGAGCCCACACCCAGCUGAGAAAACAGAGACUCAAGGAGCUGGGAGAGCUCACCCAUGGUCCCGUGGAUCCUAACUGGCUGAGACGAGGUUUGGGCUCCUGCUGGGGUGUUGGGGCCCAGAGGUCAGCGACAAGGUCACCCAGGUCCAGGUUGGUCCCUACACCUUUAUCUCAUCCCACUCCUCUGCAUUCCCGAAACCCUUCCCAGGACAGCUCCCCUGCCCACCCCGCCCUUGCCCUCACCUUUUCCAUGAGGGACUCCACAGCAUGGCGAGUCACCCAGCAGCGGCCCCCAGACACUUCUCCCUCCUGGACGAUGUCCCCUCUCUGGCUCCAGGCCUCAUACUCCUCCUGGCUCAAGUACUCUACAGGUGACAUUGGGCAGGGCUGUCAUACACCAGCUGCGUGGGGGUCCGAGGGAGCCCCAUGGUAAACGUCCCUGUCCCCGUGGACCCCGCCAGCCCUGGGAGAAGCUCUUCUUAGGGCAUCCACUCAACAAACCUGACCCUGCACGCCCCCCUUGUGCCCUGCACCUCCAUCCUGAACUAUCUGGACACAGCAGGUGAG
Piliocolobus tephrosceles (Ugandan red Colobus) is the source of this 943-nucleotide long non-coding RNA. RefSeq lists it as uncharacterized. The transcript has 4 exons. The record is from RefSeq and is a predicted model, not a curated record. Lineage: Eukaryota; Metazoa; Chordata; Mammalia; Primates; Cercopithecidae.